AUGGCCUCAGUCUCCCAGGACGAACUUGCUCUCCUCUCUGGCAGGGAGCACGCGGCCCACCUCGCCAACUCCUGCCUCAGGGCCGACUUUGAGGCGGUCGCGCGCGUCCUUGAUGCGCGGGACCGCAAGCUCGCCAAGGACAAGGCCGCGCUAAAGGCCGUGCUCGCUGACCUUGACGCUGCGAGAGCGCAGGAGCGCGAGGUCGCUGAGGCCAAGUCCAAGUUGGAGGCCACCGUACUGCGGAAGAACUACGAGGCGGCCUUGGACUCGCGCCGCCGACCGCUGGACAGUGCCAAGGAGGUGGCGCGCCUGCUUGGGGGCUCGGUACGCCGGGAUGAGUCGCUAGUCGAGGAGGCGAAUGAGGGGGAGGUGGAAGACCUCGACGAUACUGACCUCUACGUGCCUGACUGCGUGUGGGAGAGGCGCGGUGGUGGUGGGAUGGAAUGCGACGGAGUAAGGAGAGGCACAAUGGCGGUGAGGCGGAAUGCGGCCGUGGCAGGGGAGGCGCGAAGGCGGGCGGCUGUUGCCGUGUUGGAGGAGAUGGGCCCUGCUCAGCUCGGGCAGGGUGAGGGAUCGAACAGGAAGACAGCAACGGGUUUGGAGAACCUCAAGAAGAGCCGAAAGAUGUCGCUAGGCUAUGCGGAGAAGCUGUCUUACCGAGAGGAUGUGGGCACUGUGGGCAUGCCUGAGAAGUUCGACUCCCCCAAACUCCUCCAAGGGAAGAUAGAAGAGCUUGCAGUUAUGGUGCAAAAGAGUAAGCAUCUAGUGGUGUUUACCGGAGCAGGAAUAUCAACUUCAUCAGGCAUACCUGAUUUCCGAGGCCCAAAGGGUGUGUGGACUCUGCAGCGUGCAGGAAAAGGUGUUCCUGAUGCUUCACUCCCAUUUCACCGAGCUGCUCCAACCUUGACUCAUAUGGCAUUGGUUGAAUUGGAAAGAGCAGGUCUCCUAAAGUUUGUCAUAAGCCAGAAUGUUGACAGCCUACAUUUGCGUUCUGGCUUCCCAAGGGAGAAGCUGGCUGAAUUGCAUGGGAAUUCUUUCAAGGAGGUCUGCCCAUGCUGUAAAACGGAGUACCUUCGUGAUUUUGAAAUAGAGACAAUAGGACUGAAGGAUACUCCGAGGCGUUGUGCAGACAAGAACUGUGGAGCUAGAUUAAAAGAUACAGUUCUUGAUUGGGAGGAUGCGUUACCCCCUGAGGAGAUGAAUUCUGCCGAGGAGCAGUGUCGAACAGCUGAUCUUGUCCUAUGUCUAGGAACUAGCUUGCAGAUUACUCCUGCAUGUAAUAUGCCUCUGUUGUCAAUAAAGAAUGGGGGAAAGGUUGCCAUUGUUAAUCUUCAGGCAACUCCAAAAGAUAAAAAGGCAAGCCUUGUCAUCCAUGGGCUUGUGGAUAAGGUCAUUGCUGGAGUGAUGUGCAUUCUGAGUCUGCGCAUUCCUCCAUAUAUACGUACUGACUUCAUUCAACUUCUUCUUCGGCACACAGUCAAAAAGAAAUGUGUAAGAUGGACUCUGCGAGUAACUAGCGUUCAUGGCAUGCGAGCACCAUUGUCAUUUCUUCGGUCAAUAGAGGUUUCCUUUCCAGACAGAUCUGACAUGAAGCCUGUAGUUCUUAUGGAGCAACCAUUUUCUUUGCAGAGGGAAACAUCAAUGACUAGCAUAUUUUCCAUGUUGCUGACAUUGAAGUUCAGUGAUGGUUGUGGCUGCUCAAGCUCGUCAAUUGAAUGCCAUGUUAAUUUCCAGAAGCAAAAGGAGAGUUUUGUUAGAGAUAGAAGCCUAGUCCUGCAGGAGUUGAAGUGCACUGCAGAGCGCCAGUCUCGUGCCGGGCAGCAAUCGAUUCUUGAAAGGGAGAGUCUGCCAAGAGCCGAGACAUCUAUACACGCGUUUGUGACCAACAUUAUCAGGUACGACGCUGAAGAUCUCAAGGUGGCUGAUCCUAAGGGUAGUUGGAUGAACAGCGGCAGCAGUACCAGCAGCAACCUCGCAAAACGGCUCGUGGAAGGUGCUAGUGGCUACUCCGCCUCGACAAAGAAGCUAAAGUGCUAG
RNAcentral lists this ribosomal RNA (2037 nucleotides) under Triticum aestivum (bread wheat). RNAcentral describes it as "partial small subunit ribosomal RNA". The record is from RNAcentral. Lineage: Eukaryota; Viridiplantae; Streptophyta; Magnoliopsida; Poales; Poaceae.